Molecule: ribosomal RNA, 387 nt
Filed under: uncultured Alphaproteobacteria bacterium
Lineage: Bacteria; Pseudomonadati; Pseudomonadota; Alphaproteobacteria
Description: bacterial SSU rRNA
Rfam family: Bacterial small subunit ribosomal RNA
Source: RNAcentral
GAGUUUGAUCGUGGCUCAGAACGAACGCUGGCGGCAUGCCUAACACAUGCAAGUCGAACGAAGGCUUCGGCCUUAGUGGCGCACGGGUGCGUAACGCGUGGGAAUCUGCCCUUGGGUUCGGAAUAACAGAGAGAAAUUUCUGCUAAUACCGGAUGAUGACUUCGGUCCAAAGAUUUAUCGCCCAGGGAUGAGCCCGCGUAGGAUUAGCUAGUUGGUGGGGUAAUGGCCUACCAAGGCGACGAUCCUUAGCUGGUCUGAGAGGAUGAUCAGCCACACUGGGACUGAGACACGGCCCAGACUCCUACGGGAGGCAGCAGUGGGGAGUAUUGGACAAUGGGCGCAAGCCUGAUCCAGCAAUGCCGCGUGAGGGAUGACGGCCUUCGGUUG